GGUUCUUCUCAUCCCCAGAGCUCACUGUUGAAGAAGAAGAAGAAGAAGAAACUGUUGUUGGACUGAGAUUGACAAAUAAAUAUGAAUGAUGGCAGCUUGUUUUAGAAGACCUAAAUAAAACAAAAAAAAUCAUGGGCUUUCAACAGUGUUUCUUAUAAGGAUGUCCUAACCUUCAGAUGGCGAGGAGAUGCCACCAUCUACAGCCCAGCUCUCCACGUGACCACCUCCCAUGAGAGCUCCUGCCUGCAUCGUCAUCUCGGCUUCUGAACCACAAGCACACAGGGAGGGGUACGGAUGGGGAAGCUCCCACCUGCAUCUGGUCUGCUGGGUAAAAUCUAGUGGUGUCAGCACAGUCCAAGGCACUGGGAGGCAUGCAGUUUGUGCUUCUGGGAGGAAGAAAUGGAAAUACAAACAGUGCACACCAUUCUCUAUUAACUGCCCUGGGAAUGGAGAGGCAAAGCAGGCUAUCUACCACAGCAGGCUGCUUCAUUGGGUAUGCAAACUUCCUCUUUUAAUGUUGACAUUGAAAUGCCAUCUGUACCAAGACUUUCUAGAUGCCAUUAUGAAAGUGACUCCCUGCUGUCCCCGUUUUAUGGUGCCCUGUGUCUAUUAA
RNAcentral lists this long non-coding RNA (613 nucleotides) under Callithrix jacchus (white-tufted-ear marmoset). RNAcentral's name for it is "lncRNA (ENSCJAG00000083126.1)". The record is from RNAcentral. Lineage: Eukaryota; Metazoa; Chordata; Mammalia; Primates; Cebidae.